Molecule: long non-coding RNA, 1417 nt
Organism: Anoplopoma fimbria (sablefish)
Lineage: Eukaryota; Metazoa; Chordata; Actinopteri; Perciformes; Anoplopomatidae
Exons: 2
Source: RefSeq, a predicted model, not a curated record
AAACACACCUCGAUGGAUCACUUCCAUGCAGCCGAAUGUCCCAGAAGAUGUCAUUUGUGAUAAUCAAAUGUUGCAAUGCGUUAUUAAUUAUAUUUUGGACGGUCAGCAAAGUGAAUUUGACGCAUCUGUCCUGCAACGCGAGAGAAAAGGGGAUCUUGAUGGAGAACACACCCGGAAGCUGACAACGUGACUGACGGAGGAUCCGAUUUCCAAUAUUUAUUUUUUCCUGAAACAAGUUAACAACAAAUGUACAGCGAUGAUGUGAGUGUGCAGGUUCAUUCAUCGGAUGGUGUGAAUAUUGUGCGGUCUUUGUAAACCAAUGAAGGAGCUCAUGCUUCUUUGACAGAGUCUGUUCUGCUGCUGCUGAGCCUCCCCAGUCUGCCUCGCCAUGCCGCUGGUGUUGGACGCGGUGUGGGCGCUGUGGAGCAUCGGAGCCGGCGUCUACGAUUACUUCCACACCAGCGCCAUGGAGGAGAGGAUCCACACGCUGGAGAACGUCCUCUCCAUCCACCAGUUUGUGAUCGCGGGCCUGUCGGCGGGCCUCAUCCUGCUCAUCACCUACAUACUGUGGAGAAAACACUGAAACAAAAACCGGUGCCAGUCACCCACAUAUUAUGCUCUCCACCCUGAUCAGGACGUCCCAAAUGAGGUCAGGAGCACUGAUGGGACAUGAGGGAUCUGAACACUGGUCCGGUACUCUUUGGAUUGUGGGUCAGAUCUGUUUUUCUGUGUGUUUUGGAUGUAAAACUAUUACAAAAUCAUAACUUCUUCUUAAGGCAACUUUGCACUUUGACGUCCCUGAGAUGAUGCCAUUAAUCUAAACACCUUACUAUUAUGUGUGAUGAGGGGCGAAGACGUUCGGUCAGUGAAGACACUUUAGAAUUUAAAACUCUGGUUAUGUUACAGAACGCCACUAAGUUGUUGUUUUUUUUUACCCCGUUAUCCCAACUUAGUUACCUCGAGAUCAACUGUUUUCUCAUGUUUACACAUUUUCUCCUCUACUUUUUUGUAGUGUUUUAUCUCGGAGCAUUAACUUGAGAUACUGAGGUAAUUGCCUCAUUUUCUUGAUGACUUAAUUAUCUCCAUCCUUGAGAUAAUGAUGGUCAUAAGAAGCCUGUUUCAUCAGGUGAUAUUUACAUCUUUAACUCCACCGAUAAUUCAGUCUUGAAAACUUAAUUGGCCUUUUUGAUGCCUCAUUUAAUUACACCAAACGCUAGUUGUUCAAAUGAAUGAUUUAGAGUGAUUAAAGUUCUUGUUUUACAUAUUUUCAAUAGGAUUUUUGCAAACUCAUCCUCUGGUUUGGGAAAUCUUAAAUAUGUAAAUCAUCUAUCUCUCAGUUCACUGCUACAAGAAGCAGAUAAACAAAGCAUUAAAACAACAAAAAAAUGUAUAAGCUGUGAGAUAUUUACAUUUUAAA